AUCACUUCUUGGCCUUUCAGCUAAGAUCAAGUGUAGUAUCUGUUCUUAUCUGUUUAAUAUAUGAUAUAUUCUCUAUCUGAUAACAAUAUAUUAAAUGGAUUUUUGGAACUGGGACAUGGAAUAGUGGCUUGUUCCAUCCACUCCACACAUUGACCUGGUAUUGCAGUACUUCUGGGAAUGGCACACCACUU
This 191-nucleotide small nuclear RNA is filed under the name Procavia capensis (Cape rock hyrax). RNAcentral describes it as "U2 spliceosomal RNA (ENSPCAG00000019719.1)". It matches the Rfam family "U2 spliceosomal RNA". Rfam says of the family: U2 is a small nuclear RNA (snRNA) component of the spliceosome (involved in pre-mRNA splicing). Complementary binding between U2 snRNA (in an area lying towards the 5' end but 3' to hairpin I) and the branchpoint sequence (BPS) of the intron results the bulging out of an unpaired adenosine, on the BPS, which initiates a nucleophilic attack at the intronic 5' splice site, thus starting the first of two transesterification reactions that mediate splicing. The record is from RNAcentral. Lineage: Eukaryota; Metazoa; Chordata; Mammalia; Hyracoidea; Procaviidae.